UCGGGCCUAACACAUGCAAGUCGUACGAGAGCUUUUAACUCUAGUGGCGGACGGGUGAGUAACACGUGAGAAUUUGCCUUUAGGAGGGGGACAACAAUUGGAAACGAAUGCUAAUACCCCAUAUGCUUUCGAGUGAAAUGGAUUUUAUCCGCCUAGAGAGAAGCUCGCGGCUGAUUAGCUUGUUGGUAAGGUAAGAGCUUACCAAGGCGACGAUCAGUAUCUGGUUUGAGAGGACGAUCAGACACACUGGAACUGAGACACGGUCCAGACUCCUACGGGAGGCAGCAGUGGGGAAUUUUCCUUAAGAGGCGAAAGCCUGACGGAGCAA
RNAcentral lists this ribosomal RNA (328 nucleotides) under uncultured bacterium. Its description in RNAcentral is "bacterial SSU rRNA". It matches the Rfam family "Bacterial small subunit ribosomal RNA", at positions 43 to 394 of the family's 1533-position model. The record is from RNAcentral.